UAAUAGCAUUCUCUACUUUCUUGUGAUAAUGCUUCUUUCCAUUUAGAGUGUUUGUAUUGAUUUCAUCUUCUCUUCUUCUUGUUUUAUCACAUUUAUAUUGGCUAUUGAUACGGAAGUUUGCAAUCGCUGUGCAUCAAACUUUCCCAUACAGAUGGAAUUUGUAGAACUGAAUCACUAUUUUAACAAUGUAUGUUCGCUGAAGCAGUUAGAUGUUGCUAUUCUCGAGGUUGGUUUGGGAGGGAAAUUUGAUGCAACUAACAUGGUGCUCACUACUAUUGUGUUCAGUUAUAGAUUUUCACCAAAAUGUAUUAUGACUUUAUGAUCUAAUUUGGAUGUGCCUUAAAAUUCUAAAAAUCAUUUAUGCUAUUAUACAUGAUUGAUAUUUCAUUGGUUGAAAUGAAUCAACUAUAGGUUGGAUAAGGGCUCAUUAUAUUAUCUUAUCAAUGUUCCUGCAUCAAAUUUGGAAUUUCAUGAUCUAAGCCAAUACUAAGCAUUUUAACUCGUUGAAGUUAAGUCUUUAGGACUCUGUACACUCGGAUAGCUCACUGAGUUAUCAAAGCAUUGAUUUUUGGAGAUGUGUGGUGCAUGCAAGUCAAGCUACUUGGAAAUUUAUGUUUUUACUUGAUACCUGUGCUUUUACCAUGAAAUAGAAUAUUUCUUUGAUGCAUCCCAGCACGAUAUUAUCUUUGUAUCCUGAUUAUAGUUCUGCCCACUUGUUCUGUCUCGUAUAUGGAUUAUGGUAAGGUUGAACAUUUGUAGAGAGAGUAAGGGGGAGGGUAUCUUGGGAGGCUUUAUGAAUGCUUUAUCCCGGAAAGCAUCUGGAUUUCCUAGCAACGUACUGUUGAAGAGUCUAUUGACUUGCAAUCAAGUUUGAUUCAGCAUUAGUGUUAGGGGAUGUCAGUUUGAUGGUUCUGCAAUCUUGUAUUAGCAGGGGCUGCGUGAGGCGCAUGUAUUGAUGCAUGACCAACAAUGUAUUUGCCAUUUUCAGGUGAGUUCAUGCAAGAUUGAGGUGGCCACGAAGUAGUGUUAUGAUAGGGAUGCAUUUCUAUUGGAGUUUAGGGGAAGAUGGGAAGUGGCCGUGGGACUGGACCUGAAUCACAUUGUUGGUUGUGUGAUUCAUUGUGCUUUGAGUCUUCCAUGUUUUAUGCUUCCCUUUUCAACUGUGGAACUCCUUUUUAAAAUUCUUUAUGCCAUUUUUCAGUGAUAUCUAAAGAAUGAGCAACAACCUGGCUCUUGAAGUACAAGCAGGCUAGUAACUAAGUGGAUUUCAUCG
RNAcentral lists this long non-coding RNA (1273 nucleotides) under Phoenix dactylifera (date palm). RNAcentral's name for it is "long non-coding RNA (PDAC_LNC015199)". Lineage: Eukaryota; Viridiplantae; Streptophyta; Magnoliopsida; Arecales; Arecaceae. The record is from RNAcentral.